CAAGAGCGUAUGUAAAAGUUGGUGCAGUUAAAAAGCUCGUAGUUGAACCUUGGGUUUGGUUGGCCGGUCCGCUUUUUUGCGAGUACUGGAUUCAACCGAGCCUUUCCUUCUGGCUAACCAGUCGUUUCGGCGGCUGGCGAACCAGGAUUUUUACUUUGAGAAAAUUAGAGUGUUCAAAGCAGGCAUUAGCUUGAAUAUAUUAGCAUGGAAUAAUAGAAUAGGACGUUAUGGUUCUAUUUUGUUGGUUUCUAGGACCAUCGUAAUGAUUAAUAGGGACGGUCGGGGGCAUCAGUAUUCAGUUGUCAGAGGUGAAAUUCUUGGAUUUACUGAAGACUAACUACUGCGAAAGCAUUUGCCAAGGACGUUUUCAUUAA
Molecule: ribosomal RNA, 374 nt
Filed under: uncultured eukaryote
Lineage: Eukaryota
Description: partial 18S ribosomal RNA
Rfam family: Eukaryotic small subunit ribosomal RNA
Source: RNAcentral